UGGGGAAUCUUGCCCAAUGGGCGCAAGCCUGAGGCAGCGACGCCGCGUGCGGGAUGACGGCCUUCGGGUUGUAAACCGCUUUCAGCGGGGACGAAGCGAUGAGUGACGGUACCCGCAGAAGAAGCCCCGGCCAACUACGUGCCAGCAGCCGCGGUAAUACGUAGGGGGCGAGCGUUAUCCGGAUUUAUUGGGCGUAAAGAGCUCGUAGGCGGCUGUCCGUGUCGGGUGUGAAAUCCCAAGGCUUAACUUUGGGUCUGCAUUCGAGACUGGGUGGCUUGAGUCUGGUAGGGGGGUCUGGAAUUCCUGGUGUAGCGGUGGAAUGCGCAGAUAUCAGGAGGAACACCGGUGGCGAAGGCGGGGCCCUGGGCCAGUACUGACGCUGAGGAGCGAAAGCGUGGGGAGCAAACAG
Molecule: ribosomal RNA, 409 nt
Filed under: uncultured bacterium
Lineage: Bacteria
Description: bacterial SSU rRNA
Rfam family: Bacterial small subunit ribosomal RNA
Source: RNAcentral